GACGAACGCUGGCGGCGUGCUUAACACAUGCAAGUCGAGCGGUAAGGCCCUUUCGGGGGUACACGAGCGGCGAACGGGUGAGUAACACGUGGGUGACCUGCCCUUAGCUCUGGGAUAAGCCUGGGAAACUGGGUCUAAUACCGGAUAUGACUCCAUGACGCAUGUUGUGGGGUGGAAAGCCUUGUGCGGCUAGGGAUGGGCCCGCGGCCUAUCAGCUUGUUGGUGGGGUGAUGGCCUACCAAGGCGACGACGGGUAGCCGGCCUGAGAGGGCGACCGGCCACACUGGGACUGAGACACGGCCCAGACUCCUACGGGAGGCAGCAGUGGGGAAUCUUGCGCAAUGGGCGGAAAGCCUGACGCAGCGACGCCGCGUGAGGGA
RNAcentral lists this ribosomal RNA (380 nucleotides) under uncultured bacterium. RNAcentral's name for it is "bacterial SSU rRNA". It matches the Rfam family "Bacterial small subunit ribosomal RNA", at positions 28 to 408 of the family's 1533-position model. The record is from RNAcentral.